RNAcentral lists this ribosomal RNA (373 nucleotides) under uncultured bacterium. Its description in RNAcentral is "bacterial SSU rRNA". It matches the Rfam family "Bacterial small subunit ribosomal RNA", at positions 1133 to 1505 of the family's 1533-position model. The record is from RNAcentral.
UUUCACUCUAGCGAGACUGCCGUUGACAAAACGGAGGAAGGUGGGGACGACGUCAAAUCAUCAUGCCCCUUAUGUCCUGGGCUACACACGUAAUACAAUGGCGGUCAACAGAGGGAUGCAAAGCCGUGAGGCAGAGCGAACCCCUAAAAGCCGUCUCAGUUCGGAUCGUAGGCUGCAACUCGCCUACGUGAAGUCGGAAUCGCUAGUAAUCGCGGAUCAGAAUGCCGCGGUGAAUACGUUCCCGGGCCUUGUACACACCGCCCGUCACACCAUGAGAGUCGGGAACACCCGAAGCCCGUAGCCUAACUGCAAAGAGGGCGCGGUCGAAGGUGGGUUCGAUAAUUGGGGUGAAGUCGUAACAAGGUAACCGUAA